GCGGAUAUGGCGGAAUUGGUAGACGCGCUAGUUUCAGGUACUAGUGUUCACAAGACGUGGGGGUUCGAGUCCCUCUAUCCGCACCA
RNAcentral lists this transfer RNA (86 nucleotides) under Geothrix sp. RNAcentral describes it as "tRNA-Leu". It matches the Rfam family "tRNA". From Rfam's summary of the family: Transfer RNA (tRNA) molecules are approximately 80 nucleotides in length. Their secondary structure includes four short double-helical elements and three loops (D, anti-codon, and T loops). The record is from RNAcentral. RNAcentral also lists the same sequence under 9 other names. Lineage: Bacteria; Pseudomonadati; Acidobacteriota; Holophagae; Holophagales; Holophagaceae.